This 1231-nucleotide ribosomal RNA is filed under the name Escherichia coli. RNAcentral describes it as "partial 23S ribosomal RNA". It matches the Rfam family "Bacterial large subunit ribosomal RNA", at positions 612 to 1829 of the family's 2925-position model. The record is from RNAcentral. Lineage: Bacteria; Pseudomonadati; Pseudomonadota; Gammaproteobacteria; Enterobacterales; Enterobacteriaceae.
AUAAUGGGUCAGCGACUUAUAUUCUGUAGCAAGGUUAACCGAAUAGGGGAGCCGAAGGGAAACCGAGUCUUAACUGGGCGUUAAGUUGCAGGGUAUAGACCCGAAACCCGGUGAUCUAGCCAUGGGCAGGUUGAAGGUUGGGUAACACUAACUGGAGGACCGAACCGACUAAUGUUGAAAAAUUAGCGGAUGACUUGUGGCUGGGGGUGAAAGGCCAAUCAAACCGGGAGAUAGCUGGUUCUCCCCGAAAGCUAUUUAGGUAGCGCCUCGUGAAUUCAUCUCCGGGGGUAGAGCACUGUUUCGGCAAGGGGGUCAUCCCGACUUACCAACCCGAUGCAAACUGCGAAUACCGGAGAAUGUUAUCACGGGAGACACACGGCGGGUGCUAACGUCCGUCGUGAAGAGGGAAACAACCCAGACCGCCAGCUAAGGUCCCAAAGUCAUGGUUAAGUGGGAAACGAUGUGGGAAGGCCCAGACAGCCAGGAUGUUGGCUUAGAAGCAGCCAUCAUUUAAAGAAAGCGUAAUAGCUCACUGGUCGAGUCGGCCUGCGCGGAAGAUGUAACGGGGCUAAACCAUGCACCGAAGCUGCGGCAGCGACACUAUGUGUUGUUGGGUAGGGGAGCGUUCUGUAAGCCUGUGAAGGUGUACUGUGAGGUAUGCUGGAGGUAUCAGAAGUGCGAAUGCUGACAUAAGUAACGAUAAAGCGGGUGAAAAGCCCGCUCGCCGGAAGACCAAGGGUUCCUGUCCAACGUUAAUCGGGGCAGGGUGAGUCGACCCCUAAGGCGAGGCCGAAAGGCGUAGUCGAUGGGAAACAGGUUAAUAUUCCUGUACUUGGUGUUACUGCGAAGGGGGGACGGAGAAGGCUAUGUUGGCCGGGCGACGGUUGUCCCGGUUUAAGCGUGUAGGCUGGUUUUCCAGGCAAAUCCGGAAAAUCAAGGCUGAGGCGUGAUGACGAGGCACUACGGUGCUGAAGCAACAAAUGCCCUGCUUCCAGGAAAAGCCUCUAAGCAUCAGGUAACAUCAAAUCGUACCCCAAACCGACACAGGUGGUCAGGUAGAGAAUACCAAGGCGCUUGAGAGAACUCGGGUGAAGGAACUAGGCAAAAUGGUGCCGUAACUUCGGGAGAAGGCACGCUGAUAUGUAGGUGAAGCGACUUGCUCGUGGAGCUGAAAUCAGUCGAAGAUACCAGCUGGCUGCAACUGUUUAUUAAAAACACAGCACUGUGCAAA